RNAcentral lists this small RNA (259 nucleotides) under Vigna angularis var. angularis. RNAcentral's name for it is "Non-protein coding transcript". The record is from RNAcentral. Lineage: Eukaryota; Viridiplantae; Streptophyta; Magnoliopsida; Fabales; Fabaceae.
AUUUUGAGAGAAGAGAGUUGAGGAAAUUCUAGUUGCAAAGAGAAAAUUCUGGAAGUUUUCGGGGAACAAUUUCUAAGCACGAGAUGAAGUCUUGAGAUGAAGGAACGUCGUCUGACUCAGUGCCCAAGAAGGGAGAGAUAGAAGAACUCAAGUUAUGAUUAAGAAUUUGCAAAUAUGAGCGUAAAAUAUGUAAAAUUCAUAUAUCAAUUAUGAAUUUUUAAGUGUGAAAUUACGGGACCUACCGUAAAUAUAAUGUUAC